UUUUCAACACAACUUGAUGACCGACGUUGUGACUAGUGUGGGAGUGUGUGCUCGUGUAAAUAUCAAUUUUUCUUACUCCUCGUGCCGGUCAACAGGAAAACAGCGAGUGUGUUAUCUCAUCGCGGGCGUGUGAUUGCGUGUGGCAAUACACACUUUGAAUUUUACACAAUUUCGAUGCUGCAACCUAAGUGUAUACAUGCGAAUAGGAUUGCUUAAAUGAAAAAGUAAAGUAGGAGUUGGGUGAUGUGUUUGUCCUCGUUUGUGUGCAAGGAAGCAAACAUGCUGAAGG
Bacillus rossius redtenbacheri is the source of this 289-nucleotide long non-coding RNA. RefSeq lists it as uncharacterized. NCBI's taxonomy places the organism in Eukaryota, Metazoa, Arthropoda, Insecta, Phasmatodea, Bacillidae. The record is from RefSeq and is a predicted model, not a curated record. The transcript is spliced from 3 exons.